Molecule: long non-coding RNA, 301 nt
Organism: Galeopterus variegatus (Sunda flying lemur)
Lineage: Eukaryota; Metazoa; Chordata; Mammalia; Dermoptera; Cynocephalidae
Exons: 3
Source: RefSeq, a predicted model, not a curated record
CACACCAGGUGUUUUGUACGUUUGUCAUUUCAGGAGUUGGCAUCCGUUGGAAGAGUUUGUGAAACCCUCUCUCAGCUCAGAGCUCCAGGACCAAUGCAUCUUCCCACUGCCUUAAACCACUGAGAAAUUCAGAGCCCGGUUGCAGAAGACUUGUCCUGCUAUACCACCAUGAGCUCUGGUGAGUGCCAAAGCUUUGUCAUAAAUUAUCAUCAUCACCAUCAUCACCAUCAUUGUUGAUAUAUCAAGAACUACGCCAUACGAUGUACAUGUACUGUGUCCUAAUCUUUACAAUGGUCCCCUU